CGUGGGUAACCUGCCCAAGAGAUCGGGAUAACACCUGGAAACAGAUGCUAAUACCGGAUAACAACAGAUGACGCCUAUCAACUGUUUAAAAGAUGGUUCUGCUAUCACUCUUGGAUGGACCUGCGGUGCAUUAGCUAGUUGGUAGGGUAACGGCCUACAAGGCGAUGAUGCAUAGCCGAGUUGAGAGACUGAUCGGCCACAUUGGGACUGAGACACGGCCCAAACUCCUACGGGAGGCAGCAGGC
This 245-nucleotide ribosomal RNA is filed under the name uncultured Lactobacillus sp. RNAcentral describes it as "partial 16S ribosomal RNA". It matches the Rfam family "Bacterial small subunit ribosomal RNA", at positions 116 to 354 of the family's 1533-position model. The record is from RNAcentral. Lineage: Bacteria; Bacillati; Bacillota; Bacilli; Lactobacillales; Lactobacillaceae.